This 255-nucleotide ribosomal RNA is filed under the name uncultured bacterium. Its description in RNAcentral is "partial 16S ribosomal RNA". It matches the Rfam family "Bacterial small subunit ribosomal RNA", at positions 524 to 776 of the family's 1533-position model. The record is from RNAcentral.
UACGUAGGGGGGCAAGCGUUGUCCGGAAUCAUUGGGCGUAAAGAGCGUGUAGGCGGCUCGAUAAGUCUGCUGUGAAAGUCCAGGGCUCAACCCUGGAAGGCCGGUGGAAACUGUCGGGCUAGAGUCCGGAAGAGGCGAGUGGAAUUCCCGGUGUAGCGGUGAAAAUGCGCAGAUAUCGGGAGGAACACCAAUGGCGAAGGCAGCUCGCUGGGACGGUACUGACGCUGAGACGCGAAAGCGUGGGGAGCAAACAGG